Molecule: microRNA precursor, 192 nt
Filed under: Olea europaea subsp. europaea
Lineage: Eukaryota; Viridiplantae; Streptophyta; Magnoliopsida; Lamiales; Oleaceae
Source: RNAcentral
AAAAUAUUCAUAGACGGAUGUCACAUCCGUCCAUGAAACAAAAAUUUGACAAAACUUUACAAUUUUCUAUCUGACCUUCAGGACAAAAUAUUCAUAGACGGAGGUCACAUGUCAAGUUUUUGUUUCAUGGACGGAUGUCACGUGUCAAGCUUUUGUUUCAUGGACGGAUGUCACAUCCGUCUAGAAUAUUUU